Ahaetulla prasina is the source of this 1496-nucleotide long non-coding RNA. RefSeq lists it as uncharacterized. The record is from RefSeq and is a predicted model, not a curated record. NCBI's taxonomy places the organism in Eukaryota, Metazoa, Chordata, Lepidosauria, Squamata, Colubridae. The transcript has 6 exons.
AGAAGGUGCCACUGCUGUAAGAGUUACUGUUAGAAACAGCAGCAUUUGUUUCAGGCUUGCUCAGAAGCCUGAAAAGAAUCAGUCUGCCUUCAUAACUAGGUGUACUAUUUAGCUGAGAUCCAAAAGAACUUAUUCAAGGUACCGGCAGUGGUGGGUGGCCCCCAGUUCAGACUAGUUCGCAAGAACCAGUAAAACCGGUGAAAGGCUCCACCCACUGAACUGAACGUCAUCAGGAAGCUUCUGCGCAUGCAUGGACCCGUUGCGAACUGGUAGUAAACUCUCUCUUCAGAAACCAAUUUAAGAUGUCAUCUGAACCAACAAAUACUCCAUUUACACUGAAAUUGCUUUCCCUAUUGACAUUAUUAUAACUGUUAGCUGUGUGAAAGGAGGUGAUCUGAAGUCAACUGAAAAUACUCCAAUAAAAUUGUGCCUAAUGACUUGAAAAAACUAAUGCAUGUAAUUAUUGAGGCCUAAGUGUCUUAAGCAAAAAUGGAUUAAAUCUGAUAUGGCUGAACAUUAUUUUAUUUUGCCUUCCUAUUAAAGCUGACUUGCAUCCUCUCCGCAUUGGGGAAACAGAAAUAUGGAGACUGAGGCUGUUGCCUACCAUUGCAUCUUUUAUACUGGUCACCAUUAUCAUGUGGCUUUUUGUAACGUAUCUCCAUGAAGUUGCUUUUAAUAUACCUUGCGAGACUGCUACAAUAAAACUCUGUUUGAAUUUCUGCCUGUGAGAAUUGGCUUAAGCCUUGAAUUAUUACUUUGUGAAAUUAAGGAAUCUUGGCAUAAUCUCCAUGCAAAUUUAGUUUUAAUGUAAAAUGUCAGAGUAUCAUGUGGCUUACAAUGAGAUCAUUCAAUUAACAAAAGAGCUUCUCAGACAUGGACUUUUGAUGUAGAUGUAGCAUAGUCAAUAUGUCCAUAUAGCAGAAUCAAAAGGCUAAAAGUUUUCAAACACAUUUCACAUCAGUAUACUGCUGGGAAAACAGGAACAUAUGAAAAUUUAAUAUUUUACUAUUUAUUCAAUCCUUUAGAUUAAAAUAUGACAAUUUAAAUUAUCAUUCUUUAUUCAGUCUAUAGUUUCUGUUUUAUGGGCCUUGAGACAGAAAAUACCGCAUUUGUGAUUAUUGUGGUUUGAGAUAGAACCUUUUCAUUAACCUAUUAUUAGCCAGCUCCUGAAUCUUCUUAUCUUUUGUAAUUCAAUAAUAGUCCACUUUAAUUUAUUUUGGCUAUCAGAGCACUGAAAACAUAUGCUGUGCUUCAGUUAUUUGCACCUUAAAUACUAUUUCAAAAAAACUGACACCUAUUUAACAACCUUCCUUUGAUAUUUCAAAUGAACAUUCAUUGCACUUUUGAUGCACCAUAAGUUUAUUAUUGUCCACUUUAAAUUGUGGAAUUUAUUCAGCUAUUGCUCAGUAAAAUAAUAUGUCAGUUACAUUUGCCACUUGCAAUGGGGUAAAUCAGUCCUAUUCAAACUGUUCACCAAUGACAUGUUGAUAUGUACU